Long non-coding RNA from Oreochromis niloticus (Nile tilapia), 1754 nucleotides. RefSeq lists it as uncharacterized. The record is from RefSeq and is a predicted model, not a curated record. The transcript has 3 exons. NCBI's taxonomy places the organism in Eukaryota, Metazoa, Chordata, Actinopteri, Cichliformes, Cichlidae.
ACCUUUGAGCUGAACUUCCAUCUUCUCCACAAACUGUAGAUCUCUCUGAGACCGCUGAUCUAGCGCCUCAAUGGAUUGACUCAUAUUCUGCACCUGGACAGAAGGACAGUAUCAUUGAUAAACACUAAGGGUGAAUAUCUGGUCCAGUGGUCCACAGCCAGGACAUUGCUCAGUCCACGUGAAUCCAGAGUGCAUUAAGGAGUGACUGUGUCUGUUUUUUGUUCCUGCGUUGGUACUGAGGAGUGUUUGGACCGCGACAUUCAGGAGCUGGUGUUCUCUCUUGAACUCACUGAAUGGUCUUGGAGGAAAGGAGAAAAAACAUUGCAGACAUUUCCCCGACAGGGAUGUCACAGAUCGACCACCAUCACACUGCCCACUGCAUCGGCGUGUCUGGACCAGCUCACUGAACUGGCUGACUGUCGCUUGCUGUUUGAUCAAGGUGAUGACCUUUGGUUCACUUUCAGAGCAGACGGUUUUCAGCCAGCAGUCUCGACUCUCUUAGAGAUAUUUUCACUCACUGUUUGAAGGCAUUAGGACUCUUUCUUGGAGAAGACCGGCGGGGAGUCUUUUAGUUGACUAAAGAAAUAUCACACAUUGGAAGUCAUCUGUGGAGAAAAUUUCCCCUUCGUUAUCCUGUUUUUUUUCACCAGGAAAGCACAAACAUCACUCCACUUCCUUCACUUUUCCCUGAAUUAAAACCAAACACUCCAUAGUCUGUGACAUGUAAAAUCUGGGCUAGAAAUACAGAUGGCACCUCUGAAAGCCUGCCAGUUUACAGCACUGACCCAUAAUGCACUGCACACAUCAUGAUGGCACUCUGCGGGUGGACUUUCACAGGCAUAAACAUCCUCCACCUACACCUGAACAUGGUGGUUUCUUACCAGCUAUAUGACCAUAAAAGCCUGAUUCACACAGUCUCCUCUGAACAAGUAGAGAUGUGUCUGCUGCUGGAACUCUGUGUGGCAUUUAUCUGGGCUCUAAUCUGAGCUACUGUUAACUUGUGAUUUCUGAGGCUGGUGACUCGGAUGAAUGUAUCCUCAGCAGCAGAGGGGACUCUUGGUCUUCCUUUCCUGGGGCGUCCUCAUGUGAGACAGUUUUGUCGUAGUGCUUGAUGGUUUUUGCAACUGCACUUGGGGACACAUUCAGGGUUUUAGCAGUUUUCCAGACUGACUGACCUUCAGUUCUUAAAGUAAUGAUGAACUGUUGUUUCUCUUUACUUUAGCUGAUUCGUUCUUGCCAUAAUAUGAAUUCUAACAGUUGUCAAAUAGGGCUGUCAGCUGUGCACCAACCUGACUGCUGCACAACACACCUGAUGGACCCAUUAAGAAAGUAAGAAACUCCACCAAUGAACCCUGACAGACACACCUGUGAGGUGAAACCAUCUCAGGUGACGACAUCAUGAAGCUCACUGAGAGAAGGCCGAGGGUUUGCAGCGCUGUCAACAAAGCAAAGGGUGGAAUCUAAAAUAUAAGACAUGUUUAGAGUUAUCAAUGUUUUCUUUGCUACAUAAUUCCAUAUAUCUUGCUUCAUAUAUUUGAUGUCUUCAAUUUGUAUCUACAAUGUAGAAAGUAGCAAAAAUAAAGAAAAGACAUCAAAUGAGAGGGUGUGUCCAAAGCUUUGACUUGUAGUGUAUACAUAUACAUACUCACAUAUAUUUAUAUCUAAACUAUCUAAAUAAUAUUUCUUCUACCUUGUGUAUGUUUUGUGUAUGUGUAUGUUAAUCACAAUAUCAGUCGCUUCAAGGCACUUUAUAU